This 681-nucleotide ribosomal RNA is filed under the name uncultured beta proteobacterium. RNAcentral describes it as "bacterial SSU rRNA". It matches the Rfam family "Bacterial small subunit ribosomal RNA", at positions 75 to 754 of the family's 1533-position model. The record is from RNAcentral. Lineage: Bacteria; Pseudomonadati; Pseudomonadota; Betaproteobacteria.
GGUCUUCGGAUGCUGACGAGUGGCGAACGGGUGAGUAAUACAUCGGAACGUGCCUAGUAGUGGGGGAUAACUACUCGAAAGAGUAGCUAAUACCGCAUGAGAUCUACGGAUGAAAGCAGGGGACCUUCGGGCCUUGUGCUACUAGAGCGGCUGAUGGCAGAUUAGGUAGUUGGUGGGGUAAAGGCUUACCAAGCCUGCGAUCUGUAGCUGGUCUGAGAGGACGACCAGCCACACUGGGACUGAGACACGGCCCAGACUCCUACGGGAGGCAGCAGUGGGGAAUUUUGGACAAUGGGCGAAAGCCUGAUCCAGCAAUGCCGCGUGCAGGAUGAAGGCCCUCGGGUUGUAAACUGCUUUUGUACGGAACGAAAAGCCUGGGGCUAAUACCCCCGGGUCAUGACGGUACCGUAAGAAUAAGCACCGGCUAACUACGUGCCAGCAGCCGCGGUAAUACGUAGGGUGCAAGCGUUAAUCGGAAUUACUGGGCGUAAAGCGUGCGCAGGCGGUUUUGUAAGACAGUGGUGAAAUCCCCGGGCUCAACCUGGGAACUGCCAUUGUGACUGCAAGGCUAGAGUGCGGCAGAGGGGGAUGGAAUUCCGCGUGUAGCAGUGAAAUGCGUAGAUAUGCGGAGGACACCGAUGGCGAAGGCAAUCCCCUGGGCCUGCACUGACGCUCAUGCAC